Molecule: long non-coding RNA, 1480 nt
Organism: Ictalurus punctatus (channel catfish)
Lineage: Eukaryota; Metazoa; Chordata; Actinopteri; Siluriformes; Ictaluridae
Source: Ensembl
GCUUAAUGGCCUCUGCUUAAAUAAGGCCUUGUCCUCUCAGCAAACUCUUUCCUAUCACAUGUAUUAUGUCAUUACAAUGUGAAACGUUUUUGCUCCUGGUCAGGCUUGAGAGAGGGAGACUCCUAUCUGAAAGUCAAAUAGGCGCCAUAGGGCUGACACACCAGGAGCGUCCCUCCUGCAAGCAGGAAAAAAACAACACACACACACACACACCAAAGCUGCCCUUGUGUCAACAAACUCUACUGCCAUGUUCCAGGAGAAGCCUCUGGACUACUUAAUGCCUAUUUUUUUCUACUUAAGAGACUACAGUUUUGGGAAAUAAAUGAAUACUGGAGUUAUCUGUGAAAAUACGGCACCUCCGGCAAACACUUGCCACACCUUCAUCCCUCUAACAGCCCUGCUAUCCAGUUGUCCAGAUGGGGUGCAGAUGCUGUAGCAUGCUAAAAAGGUAAGAAUGAAGAAAUAACCUGAAUUACUGAUCCUCACUCCAGCCGAGUGACAAAAGCUCACUGUGGCCUGUUGGUGUUUAUAAAUGUCGAGUGUGUCAGAAAGUCGAGUGGAGGAAGAAAAGGCUUUGAGAAGCUGUUAUUACUCUAAAUAUUGGUUGUUGUUCGCGAACAAAUCAGCCAUGCUAAAGGGAUCAGAAUAGCUACUGCAUUGCCUUUUACUUUCUUUCUGCAUUUAUCCUGGAGGAUCUAGCAGGAUGAAAGAAAAGAACAGUGUUGUAAAGGCUUCAUCUAAAGCACAAAUAUGACUGCUGAAUAUCACUGGCACUGUUAAUGUGCUUUAAAAUAUUAUCAAAAGCAAACCAGGUGGUUCUUCUGUGAAGAAGAAGAAAAUAUGUUAUGAAAGACACCUGUGCUAAAAGGGAAAUUGCAGCUUUAAACUCAAAGGAUAACAAGCUACUUUUAUCUCUUUCAUCCAGGCUUAAUGGUCAGGUAGUGUGUUAUCUGUGAAUGUAGCCAGCCUAAAUGCUUAGUGUGUUAUCUGUGAAUGUAGCCAGCCUAAAUAGUGAAGUAGUGAAAUUAUCCAUGAAUGUAGCCAGGCUAAAUGAUGAGGUAGUGCGUUAUCUGUGAAUGUAGCCAUUCUAAAUGGUCAGCAAGAAUGUCAUUUCCCAGUAGCCACCAAUGAUAAUGGCCUCUAUUUUGUUACUGCUAUAAAUUCGAUAGUUUUGCUGGUUAUAGUACAGAUUCAGUGGAAGGUGUACAUAAUGCCCAGUGUCACACUUCUAGGCUUAGCUCGAGUUGGUUAAAUGGAUUGCCUCAUGCAAAUACCAUACAAACGUGACCCAAAGCACACAAACUUUGUUCCACUUUUUUUGUUUAAACGCGUUCCCCUUAGACAUUCACAUUAAAUGCCUCUUUGCUUUUUCCCAACACUUAAUAUUUCCUACACUGUGAGGAUUUUGUUUUGGGUUAUGACCAUUACAAUAUCUGUGGGUUUGUGCAGGUAUAGGUAAAUCCCUAUAAGCUAAAACAGG